CCCUUAGAUGUUCUGGGCCGCACGCGUGCUACACUGAGUGGAUCAGCGGGUCAGGUUGCGCGAAAGUGUUUCCUAAUCUUGAAAUCCGCUCGUGAUGGGGAUUGACGGUUGCAAUUUUCCGUCAUGAACGAGGAAUACCUUGUAAGCGCGGGUCAUCAUCCCGCGCUGAAUACGUCCCUGCCCUUUGUACACACCGCCCGUCGCUCCUACCGAUUGAGUGGUCCGGUGAGGCUUUGGGAUCUGAGCAAAGAGAGCGUUUCGCUCGUUUUGCCCGGAAAACUCAGCCGAACCUUAUCAUUUAGAGGAAGGAGAAGUCGUAACA
RNAcentral lists this ribosomal RNA (322 nucleotides) under uncultured eukaryote. RNAcentral's name for it is "partial 18S ribosomal RNA". It matches the Rfam family "Eukaryotic small subunit ribosomal RNA", at positions 1470 to 1796 of the family's 1831-position model. The record is from RNAcentral.